RNAcentral lists this ribosomal RNA (253 nucleotides) under uncultured bacterium. RNAcentral describes it as "partial 16S ribosomal RNA". It matches the Rfam family "Bacterial small subunit ribosomal RNA", at positions 524 to 776 of the family's 1533-position model. The record is from RNAcentral.
UACGUAGGGGGCAAGCGUUGUCCGGAUUUACUGGGCGUAAAGAGCGCGCAGGCGGUCGUUCAAGUCGCGUGUGAAAGCCCCCGGCUCAACUGGGGAGGGUCACGCGAUACUGAUCGACUCGAAGGCAGGAGAGGGAAGUGGAAUUCCCGGUGUAGUGGUGAAAUGCGUAGAUAUCGGGAGGAACACCAGUGGCGAAGGCGACUUCCUGGCCUGUUCUUGACGCUGAGGCGCGAAAGCUAGGGGAGCAAACAGG